AUUGAACGCUGGCGGCAUGCCUUACACAUGCAAGUCGAACGGUAACGGGCCUUCGGGUGCCGACGAGUGGCGAACGGGUGAGUAAUACAUCGGAACGUGCCCGAUCGUGGGGGAUAACGAGGCGAAAGCUUUGCUAAUACCGCAUACGAUCUACGGAUGAAAGCCGGGGACCGCAAGGCCUUGCGCGGACGGAGCGGCCGAUGGCAGAUUAGGUAGUUGGCGGGAUAAAAGCUUACCAAGCCGACGAUCUGUAGCUGGUCUGAGAGGAUGAUCAGCCACACUGGGACUGAGACACGGCCCAGACUCCUACGGGAGGCAGCAGUGGGGAAUUUUGGACAAUGGGCGCAAGCCUGAUCCAGCCAUGCCGCGUGCAGGAUGAAGGCCUUCGGGUUGUAAACUGCUUUUGUACGGAACGAAAAGCCUUCUUUUAAUACAGGAGGGUCAUGACGGUACCGUAAGAAUAAGCACCGGCUAACUACGUG
RNAcentral lists this ribosomal RNA (482 nucleotides) under uncultured bacterium. RNAcentral's name for it is "partial 16S ribosomal RNA". It matches the Rfam family "Bacterial small subunit ribosomal RNA", at positions 30 to 507 of the family's 1533-position model. The record is from RNAcentral.